This 341-nucleotide ribosomal RNA is filed under the name uncultured organism. RNAcentral describes it as "bacterial SSU rRNA". It matches the Rfam family "Bacterial small subunit ribosomal RNA", at positions 366 to 722 of the family's 1533-position model. The record is from RNAcentral.
CCACAAUGGACGAAAGUCUGAUGGAGCGACGCCGCGUGGUUGAUGAAGUCCUUCGGGACGUAAAGACCUUUUAUGAGGGAGGAAGUAAUUGACGUUAUCUCAUGAAUAAGGGGCUCCUAACUCUGUGCCAGCAGGAGCGGUAAUACAGAGGCCCCAAGCAUUAUCCGGAAUCACUGGGCGUAAAGGGUGUGUAGGCGGUUGUAUUAGUCCUUGUGAAAGCUCUCGGGCCUAACCCGGGAAACGCGGUGGAACGGUACAACUACGAGGAUGCGAGAGGUAUAUGGAACUCAUGGUGUAGGGGUGAAAUCCGUUGAUAUCAUGGGAACACCAAAUGCGAAGGC